RNAcentral lists this ribosomal RNA (445 nucleotides) under uncultured bacterium. RNAcentral's name for it is "partial 16S ribosomal RNA". It matches the Rfam family "Bacterial small subunit ribosomal RNA", at positions 354 to 796 of the family's 1533-position model. The record is from RNAcentral.
GUAAGGAAUAUUGGACAAUGGACGUAAGUCUGAUCCAGCCAUGCCGCGUGAAGGAUUAAGGUCCUCUGGAUUGUAAACUUCUUUUAUAAGGGACGAAAAAAGGCUUUUCUAAGUCGUCUGACGGUACCUUAUGAAUAAGCACCGGCUAACUCCGUGCCAGCAGCCGCGGUAAUACGGAGGGUGCAAGCGUUAUCCGGAUUCACUGGGUUUAAAGGGUGCGUAGGCGGGCAGGUAAGUCAGUGGUGAAAUCCUAGAGCUUAACUCUAGAACUGCCAUUGAUACUAUCUGUCUUGAAUAUUGUGGAGGUAAGCGGAAUAUGUCAUGUAGCGAUGAAAUGCUUAGAUAUGACAUAGAACACCUAUUGCGAAGGCAGCUUACUACGCAUAUAUUGACGCUGAGGCACGAAAGCGUGGGGAUCAAACAGGAUUAGAUACCCCAGUAGUCC